UGCCAGCCGCCGCGGUAAUACGAAUGUGGCAAGCGUUGUUCGGAAUCACUGGGCUUAAAGGGUGUGUAGGCGGUUUUUCAAGUCGGAUGUGAAAUCCUACGGCUCAACCGUAGAACUGCGUCCGAAACUGUUGAACUUGAGUAUGAAGGAGGAGAGCGGAAUUCUAGGUGUAGCGGUGAAAUGCGUAGAUAUCUAGGAGAAGACCAGCGGCGAAGGCGGCUCUCUAUUUCAAUACUGACGCUGAGACACGAAAGCUAGGGUAGCGAACGGGAUUAGAUA
This 279-nucleotide ribosomal RNA is filed under the name uncultured bacterium. RNAcentral's name for it is "partial 16S ribosomal RNA". It matches the Rfam family "Bacterial small subunit ribosomal RNA", at positions 506 to 784 of the family's 1533-position model. The record is from RNAcentral.